AUAAAAAUCUGCCAGCUAUGCCAUAUCUAUGGCAGCUGGUGUCACUCUUACCUAACUUGAAGUUCAUAGCAGCAUUUUGUAGUGUAUGACUUCUAGGCGUGGCUGCACAUUAUCAUUGUGAUGUGCCUUGUCUGUAGCGCCUCUUGCACUUUUUCCUUCACGUGAGUACCUAUUCAUGGCACUCUAAAGGUGGCAAUUAAUGAAACUGUGGCAUAACAAUAGAUUAACUCGACCAACAAUUUAAAAGAAUGGUAAAAUGAAACAGAAAAUAAAGUUGCAUUCUGAUGAGUUAUUAAAACAGAAAAUGCUUAUUCUUAUUACUGGGACCCCAACCAGAUUUGACACUUAAUUUAGCUCCCAAAAUGACAGCUACUUAUUUUUCUUAAACUUAAAUAUGUGAAACUAAUGGGAAAAGGGUUUGACUUCGUACAAUGACAUCUCUUCUGCAGCAGAAUUGCAGAUCUGGAAAUUAACCAGGACAACUGCAGCCAUUCAAUAGAAGUUGUUUUAGACAUUGUGUACUGUGGAAGCUUAUCCAUGAUCUUUUACAUGUUAGUGUCAAUAUAAAUCUGUAUUGACCUAAACUUCUAUGUUAGCAUUUUUGCUUGAUCAUUAUUUUGUCAUCUUUGGAAUUUUGCAUGUUUAUAUGAUUUAGAUUUCUUGUUUUGAACUUGUGAUCUGGCCGUUAUAACUGUAUAUGCCUUAUGGCUGCUUAAUAGUUGUGAAUAUUGUAUCCCACUCUCACUAUUUUCCUAUCUUCAUGCAUGCGGUCUGUUAAUGCUCAUUCUGUGUGUUCUGCAUUUCUUGUCAUUUCUCUG
This 818-nucleotide unclassified non-coding RNA is filed under the name Hevea brasiliensis (rubber tree). The record is from RNAcentral. Lineage: Eukaryota; Viridiplantae; Streptophyta; Magnoliopsida; Malpighiales; Euphorbiaceae.